This is a non-coding RNA of Prunus avium (sweet cherry), 220 nucleotides long. Lineage: Eukaryota; Viridiplantae; Streptophyta; Magnoliopsida; Rosales; Rosaceae. The record is from RefSeq and is a predicted model, not a curated record.
GGUUAUUAGUUUAGUGCAAGAGACAGAAGAAGGAUAUGGCAUUGUCAUUGCAAGUGAAUUGGAGUUUCAAGGUAAUCACUCGCAAUAAAGCUCCAUCAAAUGUUUCUGGGUGGAAAAAAGUGUGGUUGGAGACGAAGAAGGAUAUGGCAUUGGCAUUGCAGAUUUAUUUGAGGAGGUGGAAGGAUUUGGUUUGGGGUUUUGGACAGAGGACCAUUUGAGG